RNAcentral lists this transfer RNA (72 nucleotides) under Patescibacteria group bacterium. Its description in RNAcentral is "tRNA-Arg". It matches the Rfam family "tRNA". Rfam says of the family: Transfer RNA (tRNA) molecules are approximately 80 nucleotides in length. The record is from RNAcentral.
GUCCCCAUAGCUCAAUGGAUAGAGCACAACUUUGCGGAAGUUGCGAUGAGGGUUCGACUCCUUCUGGGGACA